UAGUGGCGAACGGGUGAGCAACACGUGAGUAACCUGCCCUUGACUCUGGGAUAAGCCUGGGAAACCGGGUCUAAUACUGGAUACGACCUUCUGGCGCAUGCCAUGUUGGUGGAAAGCUUUUGUGGUUUUGGAUGGACUCGCGGCCUAUCAGCUUGUUGGUGGGGUAAUGGCCUACCAAGGCGACGACGGGUAGCCGGCCUGAGAGGGUGACCGGCCACACUGGGACUGAGACACGGCCCAGACUCCUACGGGAGGCAGCAGUGGGGAAUAUUGCACAAUGGGCGCAAGCCUGAUGCAGCGACGCCGCGUGAGGGAUGAAGGCCUUCGGGUUGUAAACCUCUUUCAGUAGGGAAGAAGUCGCUCUUUCGGGGGUGGUGACGGUACCUGCAGAAGAAGCGCCGGCUAACUACGUGCCAGCAGCCGCGGUAAUACGUAGGGCGCAAGCGUUAUCCGGAAUUAUUGGGCGUAAAGAGCUCGUAGGCGGUUUGUCGCGUCUGCCGUGAAAGUCCGGGGCUUAACCCCGGAUCUGCGGUGGGUA
RNAcentral lists this ribosomal RNA (538 nucleotides) under uncultured Arthrobacter sp. Its description in RNAcentral is "bacterial SSU rRNA". It matches the Rfam family "Bacterial small subunit ribosomal RNA", at positions 93 to 632 of the family's 1533-position model. Lineage: Bacteria; Bacillati; Actinomycetota; Actinomycetes; Micrococcales; Micrococcaceae. The record is from RNAcentral.